Oncorhynchus tshawytscha (Chinook salmon) is the source of this 1107-nucleotide long non-coding RNA. The record is from Ensembl. NCBI's taxonomy places the organism in Eukaryota, Metazoa, Chordata, Actinopteri, Salmoniformes, Salmonidae.
CACUCUCCGAAAAGUAUUGGUGGCCCUCCCUGGCUCAGGGCGUUACUCGCUACAUCAACUCCUGUUCUGUGUUGCUGAGGCACUUUUCCAGCAGGUCUUCCGGCGCUAUGGCCUUCCAGAGGACAUCGUCUCUGACCGUGACCCCCAAUUCACGUCACAGGUAUGGAGGGAUUUCGUAGAGAAACUGGGGAGUCACGGUCAGCCUCACUUCCGUGUACCGGCCUCAGUCCAACGGACAGGUGGAGAUGAUAAACCAGGAGCUGGGGAGGUUCCUGAGAGUCACUGCCAGGACCGGCAAAGGGAGUGGGCCCGAUUCCUUCCCUGGGUGGAAUACACCCAGAAUUCAUUACGUCACUCUUCCACUGAGCUUACCCCCCUCCAGCGUGUCCUGGGUUAUCAGCUGGCCCUGGCUCCGUGGACUCUGAGCCAGACCAAGGCCCCUGCAUUGGACAAAUGGUUCCCGGCCUGCAGAGGAGGUUUGGAGUGAUGCACAUGUGAAGCUCCAGUGUGCCGUCCGUUGCCAGAAGAAGCGAUUGCCCCUGCAGUAAGGCGCCCGUGUUCCAUCCUGGUGAUUGCGUAUGGCUCUCUACCGGGAACCUCACUCCGCCUGCCCUACAAGAGGCUGAGCCCUUGGUUUGUGGGGCCGUUCCUGGUUCUCCGAAGGAUUGACGAGGUGACGUAUAGGCUUUGUUUCAUGCCUCCCUUCUCAGGCCGGUGGUUCCUGGCCCCCUGGUUGAUGCUGUCCCCCACAACCCCCCCCCCUCCCCGGAUGCUGAGGGGGAUCCUGCCUAUGCCGUCAGAUCCCUACUGGACUCCAGACGUUGUGGGGGUUGGCUCCAGUACCUGGUGGACUGGGAGGGGUAUGGCCCAGAGGAGCAGUGUUUAGGUUCCGGUGGAGGACACUGGACCCCAACAUCAUUUGUGAUUUCCAUUUUCGCCGCCUGGACCGGCCUGCUCCUUGGGGCUGUCCCUCCUGCGGCUGGAGUUGCGUGUCGGGGUACUGUCAAGUCUACUCUCGCUCCACCCCUCCGGCGUUUGAAAUUGCCAGUUUACUAACCACCGGUCCUGGCAUUCAUCAUUACGUGCACAUGGCAUUCAUCAUUACGC